RNAcentral lists this ribosomal RNA (846 nucleotides) under uncultured bacterium. Its description in RNAcentral is "bacterial SSU rRNA". It matches the Rfam family "Bacterial small subunit ribosomal RNA", at positions 21 to 902 of the family's 1533-position model. The record is from RNAcentral.
GGCUCAGAGCGAACGCUGGCGGCGGCUUAACACAUGCAAAGUCGAGCCGGGCGUAGCAAUACGUCAGCGGCAGACGGGUGAAUAACGCGUGGGAACGUACCUUUUGGUUCGGAACAACUUGAGGGAAACUUCAGCUUAAUACCGGAUAAGCCCUUACGGGGAAAGAUUUAUCGCCGAAAGAUCGGCCCGCGUCUGAUUAGGCUAGUUGGUGAGGUAAACGGCUCACCAAGGGCGACGAUCAGUAGCUGGUCUGAGAGGGUGAUCAGGCCACAUUGGGACUGAGACACGGCCCAAACUCCUACGGGAGGCAGCAGUGGGGAAUAUUGGACAAUGGGCGCAAGCCUGAUCCAGCCAUGCCGCGUGAGUGAUGAAGGCCCUAGGGUUGUAAAGCUCUUUUGUGCGGGAAGAUAAUGACUGUACCGGAAGAAUAAGCCCCGGCUAACUUCGUGCCAGCAGCCGCGGUAAUACGAAGGGGGCUAGCGUUGUUCGGAAUCACUGGGCGUAAAGCGCACGUAGGCGGACUUUUAAGUCAGAGGUGAAAGCCUGGAGCUCAACUCCAGAACUGCCUUUGAUACUGGGAGUCUCGAGUAUGGAAGAGGUUGGUGGAACUGCGAGUGUAGAGGUGAAAUUCGUAGAUAUUCGCCAAGAACACCAGUGGCGAAGGCGGCCAACUGGUCCAUUACUGACGCUGAGGUGCCGAAAGCGUGGGGAGCAAACAGGAUUAGAUACCCUGGUAGUGCACGCCGUAAACGAUGAAUGCCAGCCCGUUGGGGAGCUUGCUCUUCAGUGGCGCAGCUAACGCUUUAAGCAUUCCGCCUGGGGAGUACGGUCGCAAGAUUAAAUCUC